RNAcentral lists this ribosomal RNA (461 nucleotides) under uncultured bacterium. RNAcentral's name for it is "partial 16S ribosomal RNA". It matches the Rfam family "Bacterial small subunit ribosomal RNA", at positions 338 to 795 of the family's 1533-position model. The record is from RNAcentral.
CCUACGGGAGGCAGCAGUGAGGAAUAUUGGUCAAUGGACGAGAGUCUGAACCAGCCAAGUAGCGUGAAGGAUGACUGCCCUAUGGGUUGUAAACUUCUUUUAUAUGGGAAUAAAAUGUUCCACGUGUGGGAUUUUGUAUGUACCAUAUGAAUAAGGAUCGGCUAACUCCGUGCCAGCAGCCGCGGUAAUACGGAGGAUCCGAGCGUUAUCCGGAUUUAUUGGGUUUAAAGGGAGCGUAGGUGGAUUGUUAAGUCAGUUGUGAAAGUUUGCGGCUCAACCGUAAAAUUGCAGUUGAAACUGGCAGUCUUGAGUACAGUAGAGGUGGGCGGGAUUCGUGGUGUAGCGGUGGAAUGCUUAGAUAUCACGCAGAACUCCGAUUGCGAAGGCAGCUCACUGGACUGCAACUGACACUGAGGCUCGAAAGUGUGGGUAUCAAACAGGAUUAGCUCACCCUUGUAGUC